Molecule: transfer RNA, 72 nt
Filed under: Camelus bactrianus (Bactrian camel)
Lineage: Eukaryota; Metazoa; Chordata; Mammalia; Artiodactyla; Camelidae
Also listed under: 2 other names
Rfam family: tRNA
About the family: Transfer RNA (tRNA) molecules are approximately 80 nucleotides in length. Their secondary structure includes four short double-helical elements and three loops (D, anti-codon, and T loops).
Source: Rfam by way of RNAcentral
GGGGGUACAGCGCAGUGGUAGAGCCCAUGCUUGGCAUGCAUGAGGUCCGGGGUUCAAUCCCCAGUACCUCUG